This 356-nucleotide small RNA is filed under the name Vibrio spartinae. Its description in RNAcentral is "cspA". It matches the Rfam family "cspA thermoregulator", at positions 82 to 428 of the family's 428-position model. Lineage: Bacteria; Pseudomonadati; Pseudomonadota; Gammaproteobacteria; Vibrionales; Vibrionaceae. The record is from RNAcentral.
UCGUUCUGUACGCAAUAGCAAUCUACUUUUCCACGCUAGAAUGGCCGGUAUCGGCUUAGUUUUACUUUGAUUUACCAGGAAUAUAUUAUGUCUAACACAGUGACUGGCACUGUAAAGUGGUUCAACGAAACUAAAGGUUUUGGUUUCAUCCAACAAGAGAAUGGUCCCGAUGUUUUUGCUCACUUCAGCGCGAUUCAAGGUGACGGUUUCCGUACCCUAGCUGAAGGUCAAGCUGUUGAGUUUGUCAUUUCGCAAGGACAAAAAGGCCCUCAAGCUGAAAACAUUAAAGUCCUAUAAUUAAACAUAUAGGCAAGAAUAUUUAGAAAAUAGCCAGCGUUGUAUGCUGGCUAAUUUUU